AAAAAAAAAAAAAAACAAAAGUGGAGGCAUCGGAUGGGACCUAUUAGUUUUGCAAGAGUACACGUGGCAUUGUGUGCAACUAACGAGAACUACGAGGAACCAUCACAGUCACAAAUGUUUGUUGCAACUCGUACAAAGACGGGAAAGCUAGUUCAUGAAGAUGCCCAAAUUGCAAUAUCUGAACUUCAGAACCGUCGAAACUCUGGGGAAACAGCGGAUGAAGCAUUUAGGGCGGUAUUUGGAAAGGAGUAGCCAGGCUGAGUACGAUGCUAUGGUAGAUCAGUGACAUAAAGUUCUCUGAAAAAAGAUAAGAAUAUCAACAAGCUCCAGCAAAAGCAUAACAGUGAAGUCUCUACUAUGAAAGAAGAAAUGAAAGAAAUGAGAGAAGAAAGGCAAGAAUUGAGGCAAUUGCGACAUUACUUUAGUUUGUUGGUGCAAAAUAACCCUGGACUAAAUGUUCAAGAUAUCCUCGGUUUUGUCGGAUCUAACCAACCUUCUCCAGUUGAUG
Molecule: long non-coding RNA, 508 nt
Organism: Lycium ferocissimum
Lineage: Eukaryota; Viridiplantae; Streptophyta; Magnoliopsida; Solanales; Solanaceae
Exons: 3
Source: RefSeq, a predicted model, not a curated record